UGGGAUGAUGUCAAGUCAGCAUGGCCUUUAUAUCCUGGCUACACACACGCUACAAUGGCCAACACAAUAGGUUGCUAAGCCGCGAGGUGGCGCCAAUCCAUAAAGUUGGUCUCAGUUCAGAUUGUAGGCUGCAACCCGCCUGCAUGAAGAUGGAGUUGCUAGUAACCGCAGGUCAGCUAUACUGCGGUGAAUACGUUCCCGGGGCUU
This 207-nucleotide ribosomal RNA is filed under the name uncultured Leptolinea sp. RNAcentral describes it as "partial 16S ribosomal RNA". It matches the Rfam family "Bacterial small subunit ribosomal RNA", at positions 1175 to 1382 of the family's 1533-position model. Lineage: Bacteria; Bacillati; Chloroflexota; Anaerolineae; Anaerolineales; Anaerolineaceae. The record is from RNAcentral.